AGAGUUUGAUCCUGGCUCAGGACGAACGCUGGCGGCGCGCCUAACACAUGCAAGUCGAACGAGAGAUGAGGAGCUUGCUCUUCAAAUCGAGUGGCGAACGGGUGAGUAACGCGUGAGGAACCUGCCUCAAAGAGGGGGACAACAGUUGGAAACGACUGCUAAUACCGCAUAAGCCCACGGCUCGGCAUCGAGCAGAGGGAAAAGGAGCAAUCCGCUUUGAGAUGGCCUCGCGUCCGAUUAGCUAGUUGGUGAGGUAACGGCCCACCAAGGCGACGAUCGGUAGCCGGACUGAGAGGUUGAACGGCCACAUUGGGACUGAGACACGGCCCAGACUCCUACGGGAGGCAGCAGUGGGGAAUAUUGCACAAUGGGGGAAACCCUGAUGCAGCGACGCCGCGUGGAGGAAGAAGGUCUUCGGAUUGUAAACUCCUGUUGUUGAGGAAGAUAAUGACGGUACUCAACAAGGAAGUGACGGCUAACUACGUGCCAGCAGCCGCGGUAAAACGUAGGUCACAAGCGUUGUCCGGAAUUACUGGGUGUAAAGGGAGCGCAGGCGGGAGAACAAGUUGGAAGUGAAAUCCAUGGGCUCAACCCAUGAACUGCUUUCAAAACUGUUUUUCUUGAGUAGUGCAGAGGUAGGCGGAAUUCCCGGUGUAGCGGUGGAAUGCGUAGAUAUCGGGAGGAACACCAGUGGCGAAGGCGGCCUACUGGGCACCAACUGACGCUGAGGCUCGAAAGUGUGGGUAGCAAACAGGAUUAGAUACCCUGGUAGUCCACACCGUAAACGAUGAUUACUAGGUGUUGGAGGAUUGACCCCUUCAGUGCCGCAGUUAACACAAUAAGUAAUCCACCUGGGGAGUACGACCGCAAGGUUGAAACUCAAAGGAAUUGACGGGGGCCCGCACAAGCAGUGGAGUAUGUGGUUUAAUUCGACGCAACGCGAAGAACCUUACCUGCUCUUGACAUCCCAUUCGAUAGAGGGUAAUGCCUCUAGCCCUUCGGGGGAAUGGAGACAGGUGGUGCAUGGUUGUCGUCAGCUCGUGUCGUGAGAUGUUGGGUUAAGUCCCGCAACGAGCGCAACCCUUAUCGUCAGUAGCCAGCAGGUGAAGCUGGGCACUCUGAUGAGACUGCCGGGGAUAACCCGGAGGAAGGUGGGGAUGACGUCAAAUCAUGAUGCCCCUUAUGAGCAGGGCUACACACGUGCUACAAUGGCGUAAACAGAGGGAAGCGAAGGAGUGAUCCGGAGCAAAUCUCAAAAAUAACGUCUCAGUUCGGAUUGUAGUCUGCAACUCGACUACAUGAAGCUGGAAUCGCUAGUAAUCGCAGAUCAGAAUGCUGCGGUGAAUACGUUCCCGGGCCUUGCACUCACCGCCCGUCA
This 1378-nucleotide ribosomal RNA is filed under the name uncultured bacterium. Its description in RNAcentral is "bacterial SSU rRNA". It matches the Rfam family "Bacterial small subunit ribosomal RNA". The record is from RNAcentral.